CCUGUUUAUCAAAAACAUAGCCUUAGGAAAUUGAUUUAAGGUUUGGUCUGCCCAAUGUGUUAAAUCUAUUAAUGGCCGCGGUACUUUGACCGUGCUAAGGUAGCGCAAUCAAUUGGCUUUUAAUUGGAGUCAGGUAUGAAUGGAGUCACGGAGUUUAACUGUCUUUUAAACUAAUUUAUUGAAAUUACUGUAUAGGUGAAAAAGCCUAUAAAAAGAAAAAAGACGAGAAGACCCUUAGAGUUUUGCUUAUAACAAGAUUAAUAUCCUUGUAACAGUUUUGUUGGGGCAACAUAGGAACAAAUUAAUAACUUCCUAAAAAUAACUAACCGAUAUUUAUAAAAAUGUAUAAACUACCUUAGGGAUAACAGCAUAAUUUUAUAUAUAAGUUUGUGACCUCGAUGUUGGACUAGGAAACUUAAAGGCUAGCCGCCUUUAAGGAAGGUUCUGUUCGAACUACCAUUCCUACGUGAUCUGAAUUCAGA
RNAcentral lists this ribosomal RNA (482 nucleotides) under Doris kerguelenensis. Its description in RNAcentral is "partial 16S ribosomal RNA". It matches the Rfam family "Bacterial large subunit ribosomal RNA", at positions 1799 to 2615 of the family's 2925-position model. Lineage: Eukaryota; Metazoa; Mollusca; Gastropoda; Nudibranchia; Dorididae. The record is from RNAcentral.